AAUCAACGCUGGCGGCGUGCCUCAGACAUGCAAGUCGAACGCGAAAGUUCCCUUCGGGGGGCGAGUAGAGUGGCGCACGGGUGAGUAACACGUAGGUAAUCUACCUUUGGGUGGGGAAUAACAGCCGGAAACGGCUGCUAAUACCGCAUAAUGCAGCGGCUCGACAUCGAGACAGUUGUUAAAGCGGGGGAUCGCAAGACCUCGCGCCUAAAGAGGAGCCUGCGGCGGAUUAGCUUGUUGGUGAGGUAAUGGCUCACCAAGGCAUCGAUCCGUAGCCGGCCUGAGAGGGCGGGUCGGCCACACUGACACUGACAUACGGGUCAGACUCCUA
Molecule: ribosomal RNA, 331 nt
Filed under: uncultured bacterium
Lineage: Bacteria
Description: bacterial SSU rRNA
Rfam family: Bacterial small subunit ribosomal RNA
Source: RNAcentral